CUCUUAUCAAGAGCGGCGGAGGGACUGGCCCGAUGAUGCCCGGCAACCUGCAAGUGUAACUUUAACUUGUAUAGGUGCUAAUUCCUGUAGAUGAGAG
RNAcentral lists this non-coding RNA (97 nucleotides) under Terribacillus aidingensis. RNAcentral describes it as "SAM-I sequence". It matches the Rfam family "SAM riboswitch aptamer (S box leader)". Rfam says of the family: The SAM riboswitch is found upstream of a number of genes which code for proteins involved in methionine or cysteine biosynthesis in Gram-positive bacteria. RNAcentral also lists the same sequence under 1 other name. Lineage: Bacteria; Bacillati; Bacillota; Bacilli; Caryophanales; Bacillaceae. The record is from Rfam by way of RNAcentral.